CUGGCGGCAGGCUUAACACAUGCAAGUCGAGCGGAUGAAAGUAGCUUGCUACUGAAUUUAGCGGCGGACGGGUGAGUAAUGCUUAGGAAUCUACCUAUUAAUGGGGGACAACAGUUGGAAACGGCUGCUAAUACCGCAUACGCCCUACGGGGGAAAGCAGGGGAUCUUCGGACCUUGCGUUAAUAGAUGAGCCUAAGUCAGAUUAGCUAGUUGGUGGGGUAAAGGCCUACCAAGGCGACGAUCUGUAGCGGGUCUGAGAGGAUGAUCCGCCACACUGGGACUGAGACACGGCCCAGACUCCUACGGGAGGCAGCAGUGGGGAAUAUUGGACAAUGGGGGGAACCCUGAUCCAGCCAUGCCGCGUGUGUGAAGAAGGCCUUUUGGUUGUAAAGCACUUUAAGCGAGGAGGAGGCUACCGAGAUUAAUACUCUUGGAUAGUGGACGUUACUCGCAGAAUAAGCACCGGCUAACUCUGUGCCAGCAGCCGCGGUAAUACAGAGGGUGCGAGCGUUAAUCGGAUUUACUGGGCGUAAAGCGUGCGUAGGUGGUCUUUUAAGUCGGAUGUGAAAUCCCUGAGCUUAACUUAGGAAUUGCAUUCGAUACUGGGAGACUAGAGUAUGGGAGAGGAUGGUAGAAUUCCAGGUGUAGCGGUGAAAUGCGUAGAGAUCUGGAGGAAUACCGAUGGCGAAGGCAGCCAUCUGGCCUAAUACUGACACUGAGGCACGAAAGCAUGGGGAGCAAACAGGAUUAGAUACCCUGGUAGUCCAUGCCGUAAACGAUGUCUACUAGCCGUUGGGGCCUUUGAGGCUUUAGUGGCGCAGCUAACGCGAUAAGUAGACCGCCUGGGGAGUACGGUCGCAAGACUAAAACUCAAAUGAAUUGACGGGGGCCCGCACAAGCGGUGGAGCAUGUGGUUUAAUUCGAUGCAACGCGAAGAACCUUACCUGGUCUUGACAUAGUAAGAACUUUCCAGAGAUGGAUUGGUGCCUUCGGGAGCUUACAUACAGGUGCUGCAUGGCUGUCGUCAGCUCGUGUCGUGAGAUGUUGGGUUAAGUCCCGCAACGAGCGCAACCCUUUUCCUUAUUUGCCAGCACUUCGGGUGGGAACUUUAAGGAUACUGCCAGUGACAAACUGGAGGAAGGCGGGGACGACGUCAAGUCAUCAUGGCCCUUACGACCAGGGCUACACACGUGCUACAAUGGUCGGUACAAAGGGUUGCUACCUCGCGAGAGGAUGCUAAUCUCAAAAAGCCGAUCGUAGUCCGGAUCGCAGUCUGCAACUCGACUGCGUGAAGUCGGAAUCGCUAGUAAUCGCGGAUCAGAAUGCCGCGGUGAAUACG
This 1339-nucleotide ribosomal RNA is filed under the name Acinetobacter portensis. RNAcentral's name for it is "bacterial SSU rRNA". It matches the Rfam family "Bacterial small subunit ribosomal RNA", at positions 36 to 1370 of the family's 1533-position model. The record is from RNAcentral. Lineage: Bacteria; Pseudomonadati; Pseudomonadota; Gammaproteobacteria; Moraxellales; Moraxellaceae.